GUGCUGUCUUUGGCAGCACAUACACUGCAAUUGGAAGGAUCCGGAGAAGAUUAGCGUGGCCCCUGCAAAAGGGUGGCAUGUAAAUUUGUGAAGUGUUCCAUAUUUUU
Cavia aperea (Brazilian guinea pig) is the source of this 107-nucleotide small nuclear RNA. NCBI's taxonomy places the organism in Eukaryota, Metazoa, Chordata, Mammalia, Rodentia, Caviidae. The record is from Ensembl.